GAUGAACGCUGGCGGCGUGCCUAAUACAUGCAAGUCGAGCGAAUGGAUUAAGAGCUUGCUCUUAUGAAGUUAGCGGCGGACGGGUGAGUAACACGUGGGUAACCUGCCCAUAAGACUGGGAUAACUCCGGGAAACCGGGGCUAAUACCGGAUAAUAUUUUGAACUGCAUGGUUCAAAAUUGAAAGGCGGCUUCGGCUGUCACUUAUGGAUGGACCCGCGUCGCAUUAGCUAGUUGGUGAGGUAACGGCUCACCAAGGCAACGAUGCGUAGCCGACAGUAGAGGGUGAACGGCCACACUGGGACUGAGACACGGCCCAGACUCCUACGGGAGGCAGCAGUAGGGAAUCUUCCGCAAUGGACGAAAGUCUGACGGAGCAACGCCGCGUGAGUGAUGAAGGCUUUCGGGUCGUAAAACUCUGUUGUUAGGGAAGAACAAGUGCUAGUUGAAUAAGCUGGCACCUUGACGGUACCUAACCAGAAAGCCACGGCUAACUACGUGCCAGCAGCCGCCGUAA
Molecule: ribosomal RNA, 515 nt
Filed under: uncultured bacterium
Lineage: Bacteria
Description: partial 16S ribosomal RNA
Rfam family: Bacterial small subunit ribosomal RNA
Source: RNAcentral